This is a long non-coding RNA of Hydra vulgaris (swiftwater hydra), 503 nucleotides long. RefSeq lists it as uncharacterized. NCBI's taxonomy places the organism in Eukaryota, Metazoa, Cnidaria, Hydrozoa, Anthoathecata, Hydridae. The record is from RefSeq and is a predicted model, not a curated record.
UAAACAUGUACAUUAAUGACCCUGAAGUACCAAAGGAGGUUAUAGAUAAAAUUUGUUGUACUUGUUAUCAGAGAAUUGGAUCUGGAAUUCAACAUCCCUGUAAUAAGAGAGACAUUGUACAGAACCUAAAAACACUGCUAAUGUCAACAGGUUUAAAAACAGUUGAGCAAGUACUUAGCAAAUCUGUGAAAGAAAUUCAACAAUUUAAAAAUAUUGAGUUAGACAACACUAGUUACAUUGUCGACUAGAGGAACUCCUUUAAGUCUGCAGAUAGGGAAAAAGCCAACCCUUAAAACUAUCUCUACCCAAACUUUCUAUAAUAUCAAAAGAAAGCAUGAUAUGUCAGACUGUACUAUUGAUUUAAUAGCAAUGGAAUUAAGAAAAGAUUUGCUUAGAUUAGGUGUGGAAUCUAAUUCUUCCAAAAAAAUUAAGAUAAUGUCACAUGCCUUAGAUAACUAUUACUCAGUGGAAAAAGUGGAAUUUCUAUCCAAAAAUAAAGUUAA